AUAUAUAAAUCUAAUAAAUAUAGAAAGCUGUGAGAUAACAAAUAAGAACU
This 50-nucleotide non-coding RNA is filed under the name Trypanosoma lewisi. Lineage: Eukaryota; Euglenozoa; Kinetoplastea; Trypanosomatida; Trypanosomatidae. The record is from RNAcentral.